RNAcentral lists this transfer RNA (91 nucleotides) under Campylobacter sp. Its description in RNAcentral is "tRNA-Gly". It matches the Rfam family "tRNA". From Rfam's summary of the family: Transfer RNA (tRNA) molecules are approximately 80 nucleotides in length. Their secondary structure includes four short double-helical elements and three loops (D, anti-codon, and T loops). Lineage: Bacteria; Pseudomonadati; Campylobacterota; Epsilonproteobacteria; Campylobacterales; Campylobacteraceae. The record is from RNAcentral.
AUAGCUCAGGGGUAGAGCACAACCUUGCCAAGGUUGGGGGCACGAGCCUGCAAAGCUCUGAUCCCCGGUUCAAAUCCGGGUGUCACCUCCA